ACAGGAGAGACGGGCUCACCAGGGGCCGGGAGCUGCCCCAGCCCCACUCACCCUGAGGACCACAGUCCCAUGAUACCAAGCCAGGAGCCCGCAGCAGCUGGAUGCUUUGUCCCUGAGAGCAGGGUGUAGGGCUCACCCGGCUACCUUGGAAGAGACAUCGCCAGGCCAGAGGAGCCCAUGGAUGCCAGUGGCGACCUCCCAGGGAGAAGCCAGUGCUUCUGAGUCACACAGGAAAUGUGCAGCCAUGACCACAGGCUGGAGGGGGCAGGAGGGAGGAACAGCCCCCAGCUGCAGACAGACUGCACUUGAGGCCCACACUUGAGGCCCUGCCAUGGCUCAUUUGGGAUCUUAGUUCCCUGACUAGGGGUGGAACUCGUGCCUCCUGCAGAGGAAGUGUGGAGUCCUUGGCACUGGACCUCCAGGC
Long non-coding RNA from Cervus elaphus (red deer), 424 nucleotides. RefSeq lists it as uncharacterized. The record is from RefSeq and is a predicted model, not a curated record. The transcript is spliced from 3 exons. Lineage: Eukaryota; Metazoa; Chordata; Mammalia; Artiodactyla; Cervidae.